CCUACGGGGCGCUGCAGUGGGGAAUAUUGCGCAAUGGGCGAAAGCCUGACGCAGCGACGCCGCGUGAGGGAUGAAGGUCUUCUGAUCGUAAACCUCUGUCAGCAGGGAAGAACGGUCACUGUGCUAAUCAGCAGUGAAUUGACGGUACCUGCAAAGGAAGCACCGGCUAACUCCGUGCCAGCAGCCGCGGUAAUACGGAGGGUGCGAGCGUUAAUCGGAAUUACUGGGCGUAAAGCGCGCGUAGGCGGUAUGUCAAGUCAAGGGUGAAAUCCCCGCGCUGAACGUGGGAACUGCCUUUGAAACUGGCAAACUGGAGUGUGUGAGAGGAUAGUGGAAUUCCAGGUGUAGGAGUGAAAGCCGUAGAUAUCUGGAGGAACAUCAGUGGCGAAGGCGACUAUCUGGCACAUAACUGACGCUGAGGAGCGAAAGCGUGGGUAGCAAACAGGAUUAGAUACCCGAGUAGUC
Molecule: ribosomal RNA, 465 nt
Filed under: uncultured bacterium
Lineage: Bacteria
Description: partial 16S ribosomal RNA
Rfam family: Bacterial small subunit ribosomal RNA
Source: RNAcentral